UACAGAGGGGGCGAGCGUUGUUCGGAAUUACUGGGCGUAAAGCGCGCGUAGGCGGCCCGGUAAGUCCGCUGUGAAAGUCAAAGGCUCAACCUUUGAAUGUCAGCGGAUACUGCCGGGCUAGAGUCCGGAAGAGGCGAGUGGAACUCCUGGUGUAGCGGUGGAAUGCGCAGAUAUCAGGAAGAAUACCAACGGCGAAGGCAGCUCGCUGGGACGGAACUGACGCUGAGGCGCGAAAGCGUGGGGAGCGAACAGG
RNAcentral lists this ribosomal RNA (253 nucleotides) under uncultured bacterium. RNAcentral's name for it is "partial 16S ribosomal RNA". It matches the Rfam family "Bacterial small subunit ribosomal RNA", at positions 524 to 776 of the family's 1533-position model. The record is from RNAcentral.